ACGAGUCGUGCAGCUUCUGAUAGG
Molecule: non-coding RNA, 24 nt
Filed under: Arabidopsis thaliana (thale cress)
Lineage: Eukaryota; Viridiplantae; Streptophyta; Magnoliopsida; Brassicales; Brassicaceae
Source: RNAcentral